UUUAAAGAGCCGCGGUAUUUUGACCGUGCAAAGGUAGCAUAAUCAUUAGUUUCUUAAUUGGGGGCUGGAAUGAAUGGUUUCACGAAAAAUUAACUGUCUCUUAAUAAUUUUUAGAAUUUAACUUUUAAGUUAAAAGGCUUAAAUUUUUCUUUAGGACGAGAAGACCCUAUAGAGCUUAACAUUUAUUUUAUAUAUUUUAUUUAGUUAAUCUUUUUAUAUUAAAUUUUAAUGUUUUGUUGGGGUGACAUGAAGAAUUAAUAAACUCUUCAUUAUAAAAUCAUUGAUUUAUGUUUAAUUGAUCCAUAAUUUAUGAUCAAAAGAUUAAGUUACCUUAGGGAUAACAGCGUAAUUAUUUUUGAGAGCUCAUAUCGACAAAAUAGAUUGCGACCUCGAUGUUGGAUUAAGAUUAGUUUUAGGUGUAGUAGCUUAAUUAUUAGGUCUGUUCGACCUUUAAAUUCUUACG
RNAcentral lists this ribosomal RNA (463 nucleotides) under Paracinema tricolor. Its description in RNAcentral is "partial 16S ribosomal RNA". It matches the Rfam family "Bacterial large subunit ribosomal RNA", at positions 1922 to 2600 of the family's 2925-position model. The record is from RNAcentral. Lineage: Eukaryota; Metazoa; Arthropoda; Insecta; Orthoptera; Acrididae.